This is a long non-coding RNA of Poecilia reticulata (guppy), 718 nucleotides long. RefSeq lists it as uncharacterized. Lineage: Eukaryota; Metazoa; Chordata; Actinopteri; Cyprinodontiformes; Poeciliidae. The record is from RefSeq and is a predicted model, not a curated record.
GUCCGGACUCUCUCGACUAUUUCCGUCAUGCAGCUAUGUCAUUGGAUGGAAAAAUAACCAAUAAGGGACUCUGAUUGGCCGAAGAACACUCCAGACGAAACCACUGGACCUGCAGUCCCACCUGCACUCCCACCUCGAAUCUAUCGCAGCAACUCCACUGACGUCCCUCGCUCACAGCCACUAAAACCCCCAAGAAAAAACAAGACCCAAGAGUCUACGAGCAUCUCAGGUGUAAGAUCUGAAGCUAUCUAUGAAGACCCGGAUCCGUUACUGACUUCUAACCCAGAUGUGAGUCAGCCAGAGGCUAAACCAAGGCCUAUACCUCGCCUAAGGAGCAAAGACAAACUAAAUCCCCAACAUGACACCAAUCCAUAAACUACUGUAAGUUACAAAUCACAUACCAUGUUAAGUUAUCAAAGUAAAUCAUUAAAAGAUUCCGUUAUUAUACAUUUUUUUCAACUGGCAUGGGGCUAGUGUUUAGUAAAUCUUGAGUUAAAAUAUCACAGUUUCACUCUCUUAAUAAACAGAUUUGUAAUAAAAAAUGGUGUCUCUAUUAUUUAGUUUCCACAUCUUGACAGUGAAGGUUGUGUCCCCUGAACAAAUCAAAACAAUUCUGACUGAUCGGAUCUCCUGCUGGUAGAUAAUAUUUACUGCAUGAUAUUUCCUCACAGUAGAAGAUGCCUUUCAAUUUUUGGAUGUAAAAGCAGGUAUGUCUGUG